Molecule: ribosomal RNA, 261 nt
Filed under: uncultured prokaryote
Description: partial 16S ribosomal RNA
Rfam family: Bacterial small subunit ribosomal RNA
Source: RNAcentral
UACGUAGGGUGCGAGCGUUGUCCGGAUUUACUGGGCGUAAAGGGAGCGUAGGCGGACUUUUAAGUGAGAUGUGAAAUACCCGGGCUCAACUUGGGUGCUGCAUUUCAAACUGGAAGUCUAGAGUGCAGGAGAGGAGAAUGGAAUUCCUAGUGUAGCGGUGAAAUGCGUAGAGAUUAGGAAGAACACCAGUGGCGAAGGCGAUUCUCUGGACUGUAACUGACGCUGAGGCUCGAAAGCGUGGGGAGCAAACAGGAUUAGAUA